GACAGAGGUGCCGAGCGUUAGGCGGAAUCACUGGGCUUAAAGCGUGUGUAGGCGGGUCGUUAAGUACCUUGUGAAAUCCCACGGCUUAACCGUGGAACUGCUCGGUAUACUGGCGAUCUUGAGCCACUUAGGGGUCAGCGGAACAAAUGGUGGAGCGGUGAAAUGCGUAGAUAUCAGGAGGAACACCGGUGGCGAAGGCGGGUCUCUGGGCCGAUAUUGACGCUGAGGAGCGAAAGCGUGGGGAGCGAACAGG
Molecule: ribosomal RNA, 253 nt
Filed under: uncultured bacterium
Lineage: Bacteria
Description: partial 16S ribosomal RNA
Rfam family: Bacterial small subunit ribosomal RNA
Source: RNAcentral